Molecule: ribosomal RNA, 910 nt
Filed under: Pseudomonas sp.
Lineage: Bacteria; Pseudomonadati; Pseudomonadota; Gammaproteobacteria; Pseudomonadales; Pseudomonadaceae
Description: bacterial SSU rRNA
Rfam family: Bacterial small subunit ribosomal RNA
Source: RNAcentral
CGGAUGACGGGAGCUUGCUCCUUGAUUCAGCGGCGGACGGGUGAGUAAUACCUAGGAAUCUGCCUGAUAGUGGGGGACAACGUUUCGAAAGGAACGCUAAUACCGCAUACGUCCUACGGGAGAAAGCAGGGGACCUUCGGGCCUUGCGCUAUCAGAUGAGCCUAGGUCGGAUUAGCUAGUUGGUGAGGUAAUGGCUCACCAAGGCGACGAUCCGUAACUGGUCUGAGAGGAUGAUCAGUCACACUGGAACUGAGACACGGUCCAGACUCCUACGGGAGGCAGCAGUGGGGAAUAUUGGACAAUGGGCGAAAGCCUGAUCCAGCCAUGCCGCGUGUGUGAAGAAGGUCUUCGGAUUGUAAAGCACUUUAAGUUGGGAGGAAGGGCAGUAAGCUAAUACCUUGCUGUUUUGACGUUACCGACAGAAUAAGCACCGGCUAACUCUGUGCCAGCAGCCGCGGUAAUACAGAGGGUGCAAGCGUUAAUCGGAAUUACUGGGCGUAAAGCGCGCGUAGGUGGUUCGUUAAGUUGGAUGUGAAAUCCCCGGGCUCAACCUGGGAACUGCAUCCAAAACUGGCGAGCUAGAGUAGGGCAGAGGGUGGUGGAAUUUCCUGUGUAGCGGUGAAAUGCGUAGAUAUAGGAAGGAACACCAGUGGCGAAGGCGACCACCUGGGCUCAUACUGACACUGAGGUUGCGAAGCGUGGGGAGCAAACAGGAUUAGAUACCCUGGUAGUCCACGCCGUAUACGAUGUCUACUAGCCGUUGGAAUCCUUGAGAAUUUAGUGGCGCAGCUAACGCAUUAAGUUGAUCGCCUGGGGAGUACGGCCGCAAGGUUAAAUCUCAUAUGAAUUUGACGGGGCUCGCACAAGCUGUGGAGCAUGUGGUUUUAUUCGAAGCAUCGCUGAGAAUCUU